This 445-nucleotide long non-coding RNA is filed under the name Brassica rapa (field mustard). RNAcentral describes it as "long non-coding RNA (BRAP_LNC008400)". Lineage: Eukaryota; Viridiplantae; Streptophyta; Magnoliopsida; Brassicales; Brassicaceae. The record is from RNAcentral.
CUUCCUCCUACACCCUGAAACACAAAGAAACACAGAGAAAAGACAGAGAGUUGGUCGGAUUCCCAAUCCAAGACCCAUGGUGGUGUGAAGGCCAUAAAGAGGCAGUUUUGGGAGAGAUCAAGGGGGAAAGUUAUGAACGUCUUUCUGGUGGCUUUUGAUCCGUGAUGUUAUCACCCAAUGCAUCCUCCAGGGCCUGAGAACACACGCAAAUGGUGAGGAGAGAAGGUAGAUGACCCGAAUUCAUUCCUAAAGGCCAAGACAGCCUUAAGGGCAGAUGUGUGUAGAAAGGCAGUUUCAUGGAAGUGCAAGGGGAGUUAUGAACGACCCUGUGGUAGGUUUUCACCACUGAUGAACACGUCCUAGGCUUCCUCUGCAUCUUGGGAACACACGCAAACACCCAGGAGAGAAGGGAGAAGGCAUGAAUAGCCUUGAAGGUGGAUGCAAU